UAAUACUCCAUAGAUUAGAGACACUGGAAUGUUCUUUAGUCGAAAGUUCUGGCGCCUUAGGAUGGAUCUGCGGUCGAUUAGGUUGUUGUUGGGGUAACGGCCCAACAAGCCUGUAAUCGAUACGGGUUGUGGGAGCAAGAGCCCGGAGAUGGAAUCUGAGACACGAUUCCAGGCCCUACGGGGCGCAGCAGGCGCGAAAACUUUACAAUGCAGGAAACUGUGAUAAGGGAACUCCGAGUGCCCGUAUACGCGGGCUGUCCAGGUGUUUAAAAAUCAUCUGAAGAAAGGGCCGGGCAAGACCGGUGCCAGCCGCCGCGGUAAUACCGGCGGCUCGAGUGGUGGCCACUAUUAUUGGGCUUAAAGCGUCCGUAGCUGGACCGAUAAGUCUCUUGGGAAAUCCGCCGGCUCAACCGGCGGGCGUCUAAGGGAUACUGUUAGUCUAGGGACCGGGAGAGGUGAGAGGUACUCCGGGGGUAGGAGUGAAAUCCUGUAAUCCCCGGGGGACCACCGAUGGCGAAGGCAUCUCACCAGAACGGGUCCGACAGUGAGGGACGAAAGCUGGGGGAGCGAACCGGAUUAGAUACCCGGGUAGUCCCAGCCGUAAACUAUGCGCGUUAGGUGU
Molecule: ribosomal RNA, 622 nt
Filed under: uncultured archaeon
Lineage: Archaea
Description: bacterial SSU rRNA
Rfam family: Archaeal small subunit ribosomal RNA
Source: RNAcentral